This is a non-coding RNA of Triticum aestivum (bread wheat), 136 nucleotides long. Lineage: Eukaryota; Viridiplantae; Streptophyta; Magnoliopsida; Poales; Poaceae. The record is from Rfam.
UAUAUAUUACCUCCAUCCCAAAAAGCUUAUCUUAGAUUUAUCUAGAUACGGAUGUAUAUAUCACAAAAAUGUGUCUAGAUACAUCUGUAUUUAGACAAAUCUAAGACAAGCUUUUUUUGGACAGAGGAAGUAGGUU